GACGAACGCUGGCGGCGUGCCUAAUACAUGCAAGUCGAGCGGACUGAUUAAGAGCUUGCUCUUAUGACGUUAGCGGCGGACGGGUGAGUAACACGUGGGCAACCUGCCCUGUAGAUCGGGAUAACACCGAGAAAUCGGUGCUAAUACCGGGUAAUAUCUGAGAUCACAUGAUCUUAGGUUAAAAGAUGGCUCCGGCUAUCACUACAGGAUGGGCCCGCGGCGCAUUAGCUAGUUGGUAAGGUAAUGGCUUACCAAGGCGACGAUGCGUAGCCGACCUGAGAGGGUGAUCGGCCACACUGGGACUGAGAGACGGCCCCGAAUCCUACGGGAGGCAGCAGUAGGGAAUCUUCCGCAAUGAACGACAGUCUGACGGAGCAAAGCCGCGUGAGUGAUGAAGGGUUUCGGCUCGUAAAGCUCUGUUGUUAGGGAAGAAACAGUACCGAACGAACUAGGUCGGUACCUUGACGGUACCUAACCAGAAAGCCACGGCUAACUACGUG
This 500-nucleotide ribosomal RNA is filed under the name uncultured bacterium. RNAcentral describes it as "partial 16S ribosomal RNA". It matches the Rfam family "Bacterial small subunit ribosomal RNA", at positions 28 to 507 of the family's 1533-position model. The record is from RNAcentral.